GACGAACGCUGGCGGCGUGCUUAACACAUGCAAGUCGAACGGUAAGGCCCUGCUUUUGUGGGGUGCUCGAGUGGCGAACGGGUGAGUAACACGUGAGUAACCUGCCCUUGACUUUGGGAUAACUUCAGGAAACUGGGGCUAAUACAGGAUAGGAGAUCCUGCUGCAUGGUGGUGGUUGGAAAGAUUCGGCGGUUGGGGAUGGAAUCGCGGCUUAUCAGCGUGUUGGUGAGGUAGUGGCUUACCAAGGCAUUGACGGGUAGCCGGCCUGAGAGGGUGACCGGCCACAUUGGGAUUGGGAUGCGGCCCAGAGUCCUACGGGAGGCAGCAGUGGAGAAUAUUGCACGAUGGGCGGAAGCCGUAUGCAGCAACGCCGCGUGCGGGAUGACGGCCUUCGGGUUGUAAACCGCGUUCGCCUGUGACGCAGCGUGAGUGACGGUAAUGGGUAAAGAAGCACCGGCUAACUACGUG
RNAcentral lists this ribosomal RNA (468 nucleotides) under uncultured bacterium. RNAcentral's name for it is "partial 16S ribosomal RNA". It matches the Rfam family "Bacterial small subunit ribosomal RNA", at positions 28 to 507 of the family's 1533-position model. The record is from RNAcentral.